RNAcentral lists this transfer RNA (69 nucleotides) under Cryptocephalus rufipes. RNAcentral's name for it is "tRNA-Gln". The record is from RNAcentral. Lineage: Eukaryota; Metazoa; Arthropoda; Insecta; Coleoptera; Chrysomelidae.
UACGCCUUAGUAUAAGAUGUACAAGAAUUUUUGAUAUUCUAGGGGGCAGGCUGAUUCUGCCAGGCGUAA